RNAcentral lists this vault RNA (99 nucleotides) under Oncorhynchus tshawytscha (Chinook salmon). It matches the Rfam family "Vault RNA". Rfam says of the family: This family of RNAs are found as part of the enigmatic vault ribonucleoprotein complex. The complex consists of a major vault protein (MVP), two minor vault proteins (VPARP and TEP1), and several small untranslated RNA molecules. It has been suggested that the vault complex is involved in drug resistance. Lineage: Eukaryota; Metazoa; Chordata; Actinopteri; Salmoniformes; Salmonidae. The record is from Rfam by way of RNAcentral.
GUGCUGGUCUGGCUCAGUGGUUACUUGAACUUUCUCUAUCAGAACAGUUCGUUACCUCUGCAAAGGUGUCGAACCACGGGCGUGCUGUCCAGUGUUUUG